This 904-nucleotide long non-coding RNA is filed under the name Varroa destructor (honeybee mite). Its description in RNAcentral is "uncharacterized LOC111243237, transcript variant X2". Lineage: Eukaryota; Metazoa; Arthropoda; Arachnida; Mesostigmata; Varroidae. The record is from RNAcentral.
UCCUCCGUUUAGAUUCUGCGGUAGUCUAAGAGGUUAAACUCAAACGGGUCGAGCUCUAAUACAGUCGCAAAAUACAGCUAAGUCUCAUAAGAUUUUAACAAGCCACCUAAACUGGGAGUCAACUGCAUAAAAUAUCACUGCAAAUAAUCGUGCCUUGGCCCAGACCUAAACCCAGUGGGUCUCAGAUUAAAAUGUAACAAUUGUUGCAAGAUGUGGGAUACUGACAAUCAGCAGCCUCAAUUCUGAUACAAUUGAUAUCCGCCGGGACAGAAAGCGCGAAGAGAUCGAGAAGCGUGAAGAGACUACGCAACGAUACAAUAGGGACGCCGUCUAGAUAUGUCGAGUGAGGUUUACGUAAGUGCAGAUAUCGUUAACGAAGCAGAACUCUCCACCCAGAAGCACUUGCUAACUGAUGUGUUGUUUAUUCCCCAACGGUACUUUCGUAACACAUGAUCAGGAUCUGAUCUAUGUGAGAUCAGAUUAUCGCAAUCGAACCUCUUUGUGCAGUGAGGAUCGCUGAUGCGCGCUUGCUUAAAGAGCACUGCUCAGACGUUCUUUUGCCUCCCUAAGAAGCAUCUAGCUUUCAUGUCUGAUCGCGAAAAGCCUGAUUCUAGAAGUUGUCAGCGCGCCAAUACGUGCUGCUUCCAAUGGCAGCUGGACUCAUACGGUUCGCUGUUAGUAGGGAAAUACGCCCGGGAACGCACUGAUCAAUAUAGAUCAUCCACAGUAUUACAAUCAAUCUUAUGCAUUGAAGGACAAAAUAUUUUCAUAAAAUUCUACGAAUUUAUUGUUUAUGCUUAACUAGGCGAUAAAACUUUCACCCAUCCUCUGUGGAAUGGAAUAUUCUAUAGACAUACAAAACCCAGCUGCGAAUAAACUGGGCCAGGAUGUGAAAAAGGAUGGU